GAUGAACGCUGGCGGCGUGCUUAACACAUGCAAGUCGAGCGAGUGAGUUCUUCGGAACGAUCUAGCGGCGGACGGGUGAGUAACACGUGGGCAACCUGCCUCAUAGAGGGGAAUAGCCUCCCGAAAGGGAGAUUAAUACCGCAUAAAAUUAUCGAGUGGCAUCACAUGAUAAUCAAAGGAGUAAUCCGCUAUGAGAUGGGCCCGCGGCGCAUUAGCUAGUUGGUGAGGUAACGGCUCACCAAGGCGACGAUGCGUAGCCGACCUGAGAGGGUGAUCGGCCACAUUGGGACUGAGACACGGCCCAGACUCCUACGGGAGGCAGCAGUGGGGAAUAUUGCACGAUGGGGGAAACCCUGAUGCAGCAACGCCGCGUGUGCGAUGAAGGCCCUCGGGUUGUAAAGCACUUUUGGCGGGGAAUACGAUGAAGGUACCCGCAGAAUAAGUCACGGCUAACUUCGUGCCAGCAGCCGCAGUAA
This 476-nucleotide ribosomal RNA is filed under the name uncultured bacterium. RNAcentral describes it as "partial 16S ribosomal RNA". It matches the Rfam family "Bacterial small subunit ribosomal RNA", at positions 28 to 523 of the family's 1533-position model. The record is from RNAcentral.